RNAcentral lists this long non-coding RNA (223 nucleotides) under Mytilus galloprovincialis (Mediterranean mussel). The record is from RNAcentral. Lineage: Eukaryota; Metazoa; Mollusca; Bivalvia; Mytilida; Mytilidae.
UCCCCUCAGGUGUCCAUCUUAGGGCUACUCUGGUCAAGUCCUCUGCUGGUCUUCUAAGAACAUGGCCAAUCCAUCUCCAUCUUUUCUGCUUCAAUAAAGUCUCCAUGUUGUUGGAUCCUGUUGUUUCAUGGAGGUCUUUGUUGGUGAUCUUACGCGGCCAGAAUAUCCUUAAGAUCUUUCUAAGGCAACCGUUGUGAAAACUGGAGAGCUUGUUGAUGUCUUU